Harpia harpyja (harpy eagle) is the source of this 2870-nucleotide long non-coding RNA. RefSeq lists it as uncharacterized. The record is from RefSeq and is a predicted model, not a curated record. The transcript is spliced from 4 exons. Lineage: Eukaryota; Metazoa; Chordata; Aves; Accipitriformes; Accipitridae.
AGCAGUCUACAGCGUACUUCCAAAGCACUGCAACCUUACUACGACAUGCUAUUGCCUUUAAGUAUAAACACGUCAGCUCACGUUAAAUAAAUCUACGUUCACGUGCUAAACACGAGAUGCCGCGCCGGCCUGCGCCGCACACUGACCCAGUUUCCCAGCGGCCCAGGAAGACCAGAAAUAAAUAAAUCCCCCGGCCCGUGGGUUCGGGGAGGCCGACGAGAGCCGACGACCCCGACUGUCUGGCGUGAUUAAGGGCCGUGUCACAGCUCGCUGGGGACGGGCACCCUCCCGGCGGGCUCUACGUGACUGGAUGCCGGAAUCAGGCGAGCCGAGCGCGGAGCCUUCCCCAGGAGCGCGCCGCCCCGCCAGCUCCUACUCCAAAAAGAUGGCAAGAAAAAGCCUCUAGCCACACAGCAAAAGUGAUCUGCAAAGGCAACACACCAGAAAGGUUUCUCCACACCUACAAACCAAACUCCUGUCAGAGGUUAUACUCCACAAGCAGCUCUAGCCAGGUGAUCUCCAUCCCAGUAUUUUCAACUGAAAGAUGACAGUGAGCUGCUACUAUAGCAGUUCUUCCUCAAGUUAAAGCCAAGACAGGUCCAUCUGUAUCAGGAAAAUACCAGAAGAAACACAAAGAGAAAAUGCACUUCUAUAUUGACAGAUAUUAUCAGGUUGUUAGUCCUAGCCACAUUUCACUGUUCAUGUUUCAGCCACCCACCAAAUUUAUUCUUUGUUUUACAGCAUGUAAGCGAUAGCAACAGAGCCACCUCCAUGAACAGCAUCAUCAUAACCCUUCGCAGCACUCAGCGUAACACAGCAAAGCCAUCCCAUUACUACUGAACAAGAACCUUCCUGGCCUGGGAAGGGGUCACAUUUCAGAGGACGAUGGGUGAAAACAAUAGCCUUUCUUCUAUCCCUCUUUCCCCAGAUUCCCAAAGUCUCUGUUGCCAAGCCACCUUAUUCUCAUGACAGAUACUCCUGAAGGACUUUACACCACACUGGACUCUGCAGUGUGAUGUGGUCCUUCCCCUAGAAACCCUUCCCUGCCCCCCUGCUUUCCUCCUCUCCUUCAGGGCUUGGGAUGUCCCUGUGCUCUGGGCAGGUAUCAGAGCUGCUUCAUCAGCCAAAGAGGAGUUGCAGGGCAGAGCAGACCCAGGGUAGUUAGUCAGCAGAAGCAGGGAGCUUUGCAGUACAGUCAGGUCCAGGGAAGUUAGUUCCAGCCAGCUACACGCACUGGAAGGCACUGAGCCCUACCAUGCUACUGUUUUAAAUAUUGUUAAAAGAUAUUUCAAUUUGUUUUCCUAGACGCCUUAGAAGUUAUUUGGAUAACUUGCAGUGAUCUUAUUUAGCCCAGGUUAAAUAUGAGUACUAAAAGCAUGAUGUAACUCUUUAAGAACUGCAGGGGGAUUUUUAAAGGGGCAGAACAGUUGAUCAACUAACUCAAUGUUAAUAAAAGUGACACCUAACUAUAUAGUCCUUUGGUAAAUCUCUACUUUCACCAUCAGUAAAGUGUAAACCUAAGCUUUACCUGGUUAUAGGAAAUGAAACUUCCUCCUGAGUGGGACAAGCUAUGGAACAACACUGGGUCCUAUGAAGUGAUCAGUGAGAGAUGACAAAGGACUGAAGUUGCAGGGCUUUGGAUUGAAAGGGAUAAAAAGAACAGGAGGGGGCAAAGCAGAAAAUUCUCAAUGGUUUAAGAUGCUGCUGCAGAGAGCAUCCUUCAUUGCUGUGGUGGGCAGGGCAAGCUUCAAUUACAGCAGAAAAGAUGCAGGUCAGAAAAGCUUUGUGCAGGAGGAAGGCUAGUGAGUGCUGGAGCUGCCUGCCUAGGGCAGGCAGGGACCCUCCUGCUCUGUGGGUGUCCAGGGAGGAUCAGACACAUACUGCCUUGAGACAAAGAACCACCGCCUCUUGAGCUGUCCUCCAGAUAUUUUUUUUUUAAUGAUUUGCAUGACACACCUGUGCCCAGGAAUGCCACUCUCUCUGGACAGUGUGAUGCAGCAGUUGCACAGACUACCAUGCAGUAAAGGCAAGAGGCCCCUGCGAUGCAUACCACCGCUCUCCAAAACACCAUGCUCAGCGAGGAGAGGACGUGACCGAACAGGGAAAGCAGAUGCUCUUUCGCUCAGCAGCGGUAUCAGUCAAUUCACUGUGCAAUAAAGGGUCCAAAUGCUUUUCUUAUGCCUUGUUGACUCCCCCAGUUGCUUAUGGGAUUACAUUAAAGCAGCCUGUUCAGACAUGCUGUGCUGAUAUCCCACAAUAACUGUCUCCCUAUGCUUGCUGUACAGUUCAAGUCAGAACAACUUACUAAUGACUUUUUAACUCCAAUUAGGUGAAUAGUCAAAAUAAAUCCCUCUUGGCUUGUUCUGCUAAAAGACUUAAACUUGUUCAAUUUUAUACAAGAACAGCUUUACUGAGUUCAGAGUUACAAGCUAAACAGACCAAACUCUUUGCAAAACUGGGGCUUUAGAAAAAAAAAAAUCUCCCCUCUCCCCCAGCCUGACAGUGAAGGGCUCUUUUCAGUCACUGCAGUCACCCAUAGCAAGCAUUUCCACUGAAACCCUUGGUAAGCAUGGUAGUUUGAUAUAGAGAAUUGACUACAGUAAUAUAAAAGCAAACAGCCUGAAAGCAUGCCCACUGAGUUGUUUAAACAUUAUGAAAACUAGACAAAUGACUCAUUUUUGAUGCAAUUUGACAUUUUGCCUUUGAAAUUUCAAAUUUUUCAGCCUGUUUGGAAGACUCAUUCAAAAGUGAGAGUGCACAAUUUGGAUUUUUUCCAGUGGCAUCUUACAUGAUGUAUAAGAAAGCACUUGUGUAUUAUUUUAAAGACAUUUCAGCCUACUGGUUUUCCUCACAUAUACCUCUAUGAAAAU